AAAAAGGAUAAGAUGGAGGCAAAACAGAUCUGUAACUUCGGGAUAAAGAUU
RNAcentral lists this ribosomal RNA (51 nucleotides) under Paramoeba aestuarina. RNAcentral describes it as "partial Eukaryotic large subunit ribosomal RNA". Lineage: Eukaryota; Discosea; Flabellinia; Dactylopodida; Paramoebidae. The record is from RNAcentral.